RNAcentral lists this transfer RNA (82 nucleotides) under Niveomyces insectorum. RNAcentral's name for it is "Sporothrix insectorum tRNA-Leu". It matches the Rfam family "tRNA". Rfam says of the family: Transfer RNA (tRNA) molecules are approximately 80 nucleotides in length. The record is from RNAcentral. Lineage: Eukaryota; Fungi; Ascomycota; Sordariomycetes; Hypocreales; Cordycipitaceae. RNAcentral also lists the same sequence under 1 other name.
AUCCUAGUGAUGAAAUUGGUAAACAUAACAAGCUUAAAACUUGUAGGCUAAUGCCUUAAAGGUUCGAGUCCUUUUUAGGAUA